Molecule: signal recognition particle RNA, 97 nt
Filed under: Phycisphaeraceae bacterium
Lineage: Bacteria; Pseudomonadati; Planctomycetota; Phycisphaerae; Phycisphaerales; Phycisphaeraceae
Also listed under: 1 other name
Description: signal recognition particle sRNA small type
Rfam family: Bacterial small signal recognition particle RNA
About the family: The signal recognition particle (SRP) is a universally conserved ribonucleoprotein involved in the co-translational targeting of proteins to membranes. Archaeal SRP consists of a 7S RNA and homologues of the eukaryotic SRP19 and SRP54 proteins. In most bacteria, the SRP consists of a 4.5S RNA and the Ffh protein (a homologue of the eukaryotic SRP54 protein).
Source: RNAcentral
GGUCGGGUCCGUUGGACGGUCGUCCCGGGAACCAGGUCAGGGCCUGACGGCAGCAGCCUUCAACGGCGGCAACCGAGCCCUCGGCAACCUGGCCGUC